UGCAGUUUGCUGUUGCACACUCAAACGAGAGUGGAAAUUUUAAACUUCGAAUACAUUAUUCGCAUUGUGCAAACAGUUAAACUUCUGUACGAAUCUCGUACGCACAAGACUGCGAAAAGUAUAUUUUGACGUGAGUAAACCCGCGAUGGCGGAAAAUCGCAGAAGAUCGGCUUUAAGACCGCUGAAUGGUAACCUGGAUUAUUCGAGGAGACUCACUGCUCCAUCUUGUAUGACGUACAAGGAUCUGAUCAGGAUUGUUGGCGUCGAUCCCGAGUUAGGCCCGUCAUCCUGGCGGAAAGCGAUUGACCACUCCGCGGACACUGUUGUCUUUUACCAGGUUGAUCUGCGCGCCUGCGUCCCGCAUAUGAGCAAGAGUAUCCGCAUUCGUUGUGCGGAAGACAAGGGCCACCUCGUACCGUCUGUGUACAUCGGCAGCACACCGUUGAGUUUAUCCUUCAUGACGACCGUCAUCGGACGACCGUAUCUGGCCGAUGAAGACGAUCUGAUGAAGCUCCUUGAGUAUGUCGGGGUGUUGCUGGGUUCGGAAGUUAUCCUCGGGCAGACAAGCGAAUCUGUUUGCUUUUCUCCAGAAACCGCGGAGAACAUCCAGAUUGCUUCGUUACCAGAUGCAGCGGAUUUACCAGAUGAUGAAAUAGUGGAAGCAGCGCCGAAACGAGCGAGGCAUUUCGUGGAUGAUUCGGAGAAAACUGCGUUUGAUGCGGACAAUAUGACUACUGACGAAACAGAAACUGCGAAUGAUGACCAACCAACUCAUCGCAGUGCCAUUGAUCUCGGGGAUCUCUUUACUGGAGCAUUACCGCCUUUGCCAUUAAAAGAGGCUCCUCGAAGCCGUCGAAGGCGAAAAACACCAAAACUAUCAACCGGAUUGAGAGAAAAGAGUGACGCCAGCCACGAAGUGGAGGUGGGGGAAGGAGACGGCCACGAAAUUGCACCUUCCACUGCCCAUACAGUUCGGAAUGGUACCACGGAAUCAGUCAGCAAAGAAAAAUUCAAAGAUUUGUGUUUAGAUGGUUUUGUACCCGAUAGCACAAGCGAAGAUUACUAUGUGGGUUCCCGGACAUUUGAACGUCACUUCGCUUUAAAAAACCCUCCACGGGUACUCAAAUCCGCCUGUCGCCUCGAGGAUACCACGUCUCCUUGGUGUUUUCAGAUGGAUGGUCCGGACAUGAUGAUCCUGGAUGAAAGCUUCCCAAACAUUUUCGUCGACAACCGAUACCAUUUAUUGGAUUCCAAAUUUCUGAAGCAUACGCUUACACCCGAACAGUAUAUUUGGUACUUGAUGUCGCGAUUAUUGGGCGGUACCCCCGGAUUAAUACGUUUGGCCACGGUGUACGAUGUGCGAAAGGAAGAGAGUGAUGGAAAGCGACAGUAUAAUUUUUACGAGAGCGUCUUAGGAUCGGAUUUCUUUCGGGUUGUCGAGAAGAAAGCCAGUGAUUUGGUGCGUGAAAUGAUUCCGGAAGGGGAAAUGGAUUCAUCUGCAUUAGCUGGUAUUGUUAAGAAUUUACCGAGUUUACCGCCUUCCUUGCAAUCUUUCUUUGGUCAUAAGUUUGCAAACUGGAUGGAUAAGUAUCGUCAAAUAUGUCGUAAAAGAAAGAAGGUUAAUUAGUGCCUGAUUUGUUUAGGUUUCUGUUAUACGUUGUAUUGCUAAUGCACGCUGAUUUUGCGGUUGUGUAGCGCACAGAUAUGUAAAUGAAGUUUCCGUUGUAUCAUGGAAAUGUUCCUGCAUCGUCUUGCUGAGGAACACAUUUUGAUUCUCAAGUUAAGACAUAUUUUGUGCACCAUGCAGGCCACCAGCUCGCGCUGUAUGAGAUGCACGAAAAAUGAAGAAGUAAUCAGUGUCGGCAUGAUUGAUCGAGCAUUAUGUCGUCAGGAUUUUACGAUGCGCCCUAAGACCAAAGUUCUGUGUCGUUUCAGGUGCUAGAACGUUUUUUUGCGCAAGUAUAAUUUUUUUCGGCGUUUUUAACAUUUUGAUGAUUAAGUAUUUAAAAUCUCUUUGUGGGCGUAGUGUGUCAAUAUUAAACAAAUCACGAUUUUGACGCAAGUGUCCAGUCUACAAUCUUAUUCUAGCCAGCUACGCUAACUUAUAUGCAAAUGCAGCAUAAGUAUUUAGCGGCACUAACCUCUGUGAAAGCGAACUUUGUUCAAACAGAAGCGUGUGAAUAUCAACUAUUAAUCAGAAAUUGCUACAUAUAAAACGCUAAUGCAGCAUCGUUUAUGUACAUUAAGCAGAUUUUUUGUUUCGUUCAUUAAUGAUCGGCUUUUAGGGAAGGCGCAAGUCAACAUUAUCAGCUGCACACAUACAUGUCGGCAGAAUCAUCUGUCAAAAAACCACUCGUGCUGAGUAUACUUAGUGAGUAGUUUUCCCAACAUAAUCCAUAAUGGGAACUAGUUACUUAUAGGAUAGACGUGCAACACAGACCGCUCGCAAUGUCGGUGUAGUAGUCCAAGUUCUAAACAGUUUUGUUCAAGUGUUUAUGCAAAACGUUGUUCUAGAUACAAGAAUUUCAGAUCAAAGAACUAUGUUGGACCGAAAGGAAAUCUCGAUAAAAGGAGCAAGAUGCUGUUCAUUUUUCCCUUUGCGGUACAUGUUUGCGGUGGUGGCCUUUUUGGGCAUGUUUAAUUUGUAUGCAUUGCGGGUGAAUUUGAGCGUCGCCAUUGUGGCGAUGGUGAACCACACUAGCAUUGCCGG
RNA transcript from Paramacrobiotus metropolitanus, 2710 nucleotides. It is a transcript of the gene named sialin-like, with no coding region annotated. The record is from RefSeq and is a predicted model, not a curated record. The transcript is spliced from 7 exons. NCBI's taxonomy places the organism in Eukaryota, Metazoa, Tardigrada, Eutardigrada, Parachela, Macrobiotidae.